Long non-coding RNA from Bubalus bubalis (water buffalo), 893 nucleotides. RefSeq lists it as uncharacterized. The transcript is spliced from 2 exons. The record is from RefSeq and is a predicted model, not a curated record. Lineage: Eukaryota; Metazoa; Chordata; Mammalia; Artiodactyla; Bovidae.
CUGUAGUCCAUGGGGUCGCAAAGAGUCAUACACAACUGAACGACUUUCACUUCACUUAGGAUAUUUUAUUUAUAGAGUUGUAUCAUCUAUGAAUAAAGACAGUUUUAAUCAUUCCUUUUUAAGUGGUUUUAAUCUUUUUCAUACCUUGUUGCACUAGCUAGAAGCUUCACCACAAUGUUGAAGAAAGAGCCUUGCAAGGAGAAAACUUGAUGUUUUCUCUUUUCCCAAAGAAGAAAUGUAAGGUGCAUUGUCCUCAUAGUCAGAAGACCUGGAGUCUAAUUGCUAGUUACUGUUUGAUUUUUGGCAAAUCACUCACCUUCUCUGAACUGGUUUUCAUUCAUUUGUGUAGUAAGGUGAUUGGGUCUUAUUUUAUAAGCUUAAAUACUAUUCUGUGUUUUAAUAUUUUAUGGUUAUGAGCACACACUACUUUAUGCAUCUGCAACAAGAAAAUAAAAUUAACUGUACUUUAAAUUUUAAAAAUUAACUUUGUUUUCUAAAUGCAUUAGGGAAUUGAGAAGAAUCCAUACAAUCACAAAAUACACUUGUGUUAAAACAAAAUUUUUUCUUGAAUAGCAUGGCCAUCAAAUAGGCCAAACUUAGGAAUUAAUAUUAGGCUUUCUGAGAAAUUGCAUUGUCUGAAGCUUACACAUCUCUCAUUUCCAUUAAAAUAUAAUGCAAACUGUUUUUGCACCCACCUUCAGGGAAGUCACUGCAGUUAUUUGGCUUACUUUUUUGUGUGUAUGGCAUUAGCGCUGUGGAAUUUUGUUUUAACUUUAUUGUGUUUGACCUCACAUUUUGUGCCAUCAGAAAUGUAGAAUUUUAUUUUAAUUGUAUUAUGCCUGGCAUAAGCUAACCUUGUAAUUAAACGUGUAAUAAAACAUGCCAUAAAGUUU